Molecule: RNA transcript, 4124 nt
Organism: Patella vulgata (common limpet)
Lineage: Eukaryota; Metazoa; Mollusca; Gastropoda; Patellidae
Gene name: apoptotic chromatin condensation inducer in the nucleus
Exons: 11
Source: RefSeq, a predicted model, not a curated record
UAAACGAGCACUGCCUUAGCUAAGUUUGGGAAAAUGGCGGACGACGAACCGAUUAUGGUUGAAGGGAAAACUUUAGGUGAACUUCGGGUCGUAGAUCUAAAAAAAGAGCUUGAAGCACGAGGACUAUCAAAGAGUGGCAGCAAGGGACAGUUAAUUGCAAGAUUAAAGGCGCAAUUGCAGUUAGAAAAACUACAGAAUGUACCUGUUGAUACUGAAAACAAGGCACCAAACUUAGAACUUCAAAAUGAUGAAGUUGCUGGUCAAAGUUCCUUUAUUAAGGAAUACCUUGCAAGACAACAGAAAGCACUGGAUAUGCAAAUAGAAGCUAAAAAGAAAUUGGAAGAAGAAGAACGCAGAAAAUCUACCGAAGAUGAAGGUGAAUCGGAGACGGACGAUAUGCAGACAGCUGAAAAAUCGGCAAGCGGCGAAAAACCGGAAAUAGUACCGGUGCAGGACGUGACGUCAAAACACGAGAAGGCUGAAGACACGGAAAACGCACCUGCGACGGGUGAAAAAGAAGUUGAAGACAUGGCGAGACGUAGAAGUAAAACAAAUAAUGCAGAACCUAGCAGUCCAAACAAAGUAGAUACCAACAAUAUUGGAGAUGAAGUGAUAUCUGCAAAAAAAAGUAAUGAAAAAGCAGUCAAAUCUAGAUCACCAUCACCCAACAACAACCGAUCAAGGAGUAGAAGAAAAUUAGCAGAAGAACAUGUAACUAGGCAGAAACUUAACCAAACUCCUGAACCAAGCAAACAUACAUUGAAGGAGGAGAAAAGAAAUGGAAAAGAAAAAGAAAAAACAGUGGAAGGAAGUGAAAGUAAAAAGGAAGAAGGCAUGCGGGAAACUGAUGAAGUAGCAGAUGACAAGAAAUUGACUUCAGAUUCUAAAAAUGUUGAACCUUCACAUCAGCCUGAACCUAAACUGAAAGAUCCAGAGGCUGGUGUUGAAGAUAACAAAGAAAUCACCCCAGAAGUGGUAAAGUCCAAGAGGAAUCGCUGGAAUAAGGGACCCAUUGAAGAAAGUAAAGAAACACCAAAGAAAGUUUCUACUUCUUUAUCAGAAAAAGAUGUUGAUAAGGAAGAAAAAGAAUCAUCUUCUAGGCCUCGUAGAUUAAAUAGAAUUGAAGAAGAUAAAGAUAAACCAGUUGAAAAAGAAAUUGAUAAAGAAGAUAAACAUUCUAAGAGACCCAGUCGCUCCUCUAGAGAUUCAUUGGGAAACAUAGAAGUAUCUACAGAUACUUCUACUAAAGAAUCUUCUAAAAGUACAGAAAAUGAAGUUCCUUUAAAAGAAAAACGUUCAUCAAAAGAAAACCUUAAAGUCGCAGAAAAAUCUUUAGGGGACAAGACAGAGCAUUCUUCUAAAUUCACCGAAUCCAAAGCAGAUUCAAAAUCUAGAGAUGGAAACAAAUCCGAAAAAGCUGAAGAAAAAACUCCUAAAUCUGUACUGACUGCAAAACUGGACGAAAGUAAGGAAAAUCCAAAAAUAGAGAAAAGCAGAUCUUAUACACCAACAGAAUCAAAAUCAAAAGAGAAAGAAUAUGCCUCUAGGAGGAUCUCAAGGUCUAAAAGCUCUGAUUCGUCAGAUGAUAACAGUAAAUCUAGAUCUCGGUCCAGAGAUCGGUCUCGUUCUGGCUCACGUGAUCGAUCACCAUCUUCCUCUAGUUCAUCUAAUUCCAGUAGUUCUUCAGAUUCUUCUGAUGAUGAAACACCAGUAAAAAAAGGCCCAAAAGGGUCAGUAGUGUCAGUAAAGAAAACUGGUCGGCAGUCUCCAUUGUCAGAAAAAUCUGCAUCACCAUCACCUGAACCACAGCCAAAGACAGCAAAAAUUGCAGCAGUGACAAAAUCUAGUCCCGAGCGAAGUGUAAUGAAAGAAGAAUCAGGAUCACCAAUAAAAGACAUUGAUAAGGAUAAGCAGGCUUCUGAUAAAGAAAAAGGUGAAAGAAAGGAGGUUAAAAUGGAGGUUGAUGAUGUGGUUAGUCCAACAGUAGAUGCAAUUAAAAAGAUAGGUCAAGUGUUGGCAGCGCACCACAACAAAUGGGCUUCUUGUAGAAACAUGUAUCUCAUACCCCAUGAUGAUCCUAGUACGGUACCCAUAAGCUAAUUACCAUGAUGAAAUUCCUGAAAGGUUCCUAGAGGAUAAAAUCUUAUAGAUGGAUGGAAGUCUUCGAAGUGAGAACACAAAAUGCAUCAGGAUCCAAGUAGUGCUAAGCAAGCUGGAUCAAAAGUGACAAAACAUCCAAUAAUAUUUGACACAAUCUGGGAAAUGAACAAUUUUAUUUUCCCCAGGAUUUCUCUUUUGGAUGAAAAUCACUUUGAAUAUACUUGGUUUACUUUGAAAUUGUGGUUCCUGAAGAUUGCCAUUGAAUAUUGAUGUAAUAACAAUGUUCUGGAUGUUCAUAAAAACUAACAUUCAAUUAGUAUUAGUGUAAUCAACUAUGUUCCUGAAUGCUGCCAUUCGGUCAGUGCUGAGGUGAUCGGUUAUGUCCCACAGGUUCCUAAAAAUACUAACAUUCAAUAGGUAUUGACAUAAUCAACUAUUCCAAUCAAUCAUUAAUGAAGUGGAUCCUGAUAUGCUGGCAUUGACUAUGUUCCAGACAGUACCGAAAAAUCAGCAUUGAUGUAAUCAGCGUUCUGAAAAAUACUGACAUUCAAUCAGUAUUGAUGUAAUAUGUUGUGUUCCAGGCAUUCCCCAAAAAUACUGACAUUCAAUCAGUCAUGUUCCUGAUGUUCCUGAAAAAUACAAACAUUCAAUCAGCCAUGUUCCUGCUGUUCCAAAAAAUACUGACAUUCAAUCAGUGUUGAUGUAAUACGCUGUGUUCCAGGCAUUCCCCAAAAAUACUGACAUUCAAUCAGCCAUGUUCCUGAAAAAUACAAACAUUCAAUCGGCCAUGUUCCUGCUGUUCCUGAAAAAUACUGACAUUCAGUCAGUCUUGAUGUGAUCAGCUAUGUUCGUGCUCUUCCUGAAAAAUACUGAUAUUCUUUUAGUAUUAUUGUAAUACUACUGAAAUUCAAUCAGUAUUGAUGUAAUAAGCUGUGUUCCAGAAGUUCUGAAGAAUACUGACAUUCAAUCAGCCAUGCUCCUGAUAUUUUUGAAAAAACUGACAUUCAAUCAAUCUUGGAUGUUCUGGAUGUUGUAAAUGCUGUGUUGGCAUUUAAUCAGUGUACUCAGUUAUAUUCCAGAUGUUCGUGAAUGCUGAAAGAAGCUUGAUGCUGUGAUACUCAUCGUGAAGUGCCAUCAGCAUUUAAUGUUGUGAUUAGAAGAUUAAUAUGAACUGUUAGAGUAUUGUGGAUGGAGUGAAUCGCAAAUAUGCAGUUAACCUUUUUAUGUGACAUAAACAUACAAAACUUAUCCUUUCAGUGACGAUGUUGUGAUUUAGGAAAAAUUGUUUUAUGAUAAACAAAGUGGUUAGUGAAUUGUCGCAAAUUGAAGAUACUUUAAUAGUGAUCAGAUCGAUUUGUGAAAAUAUAUUUGAUAUAAACAUUGUGUCGACAACAGCAACUUCUCCAAACGAAUAGUGCUUGAAGUGGUUUGAUAAUUUUCUUUAAAAGUGAUCUUGAAAAAUAGACUUUGAACACAAAUGUUUUCUGAAGAUGCAAGAUAUUCCACCAGUUUAUUAAAUGAACUAAACCAAAAUCAGCUGUUACUGAUUUCGACUGUAGACCCAUAUAAUUGACUUUAGAUUGUUACUGCCCACAACCACUUGAUGACAGAUGUUGGUGUGAUAUGUAGUGUAUUUUGGUAUUUAAUCCACAUCAUUAUCCCCCUUUGGACAGGAAUUAUUUUUAAUCUUAAUAUUAAGAGUAUACAAAGUGCCUUAAUUUUUCUUCAGAAUACUUGAGUCCCGGAAAACAUCUUUAAGUAAUUUUAAAUAUUUAUCCUUUGAAAAUAAAAUCAUUGCUGUUAAAGCCUCAGAUAUUAUAUGUUGAUUACCUAUUCUUACUCCUUUGUCAUUAAGUCCCUUCCCUAUUUUUCAGGUUGAUGCUAAACCUAAAGAAACAUAUGUACCUAAAUUGUUACGAAGAAAAUCCCUAAGAACAACUGAAGAAGAGGGCAUCAAGAAGGAAGAAGAGACUGGAGAACCAAAGGAGGAAGAAAGGAAAGAAAAACCAAUAAAGAAAAGGAAA